RNAcentral lists this ribosomal RNA (115 nucleotides) under Resinicium monticola. Its description in RNAcentral is "5.8S ribosomal RNA". The stretch from base 15 to 115 matches the Rfam family "5.8S ribosomal RNA", at positions 1 to 101 of the family's 154-position model. Rfam says of the family: 5.8S ribosomal RNA (5.8S rRNA) is a component of the large subunit of the eukaryotic ribosome. It is transcribed by RNA polymerase I as part of the 45S precursor that also contains 18S and 28S rRNA. The record is from RNAcentral. Lineage: Eukaryota; Fungi; Basidiomycota; Agaricomycetes; Hymenochaetales.
GCGAAUUUUAAUACAACUUUCAACAACGGAUCUCUUGGCUCUCGCAUCGAUGAAGAACGCAGCGAAAUGCGAUAAGUAAUGUGAAUUGCAGAAUUCAGUGAAUCAUCGAAUCUUU